UGGUGGAGCGAUUUGUCUGGUUAAUUCCGAUAACGAACGAGACUCUGGCCUAUUAAAUAGUUCGCCGAUUCCGAUCUGUCGGCGUUAACUUCUUAGAGGGACAAGUGACUUUUAGCCACGCGAGAUUGAGCAAUAACA
This 138-nucleotide ribosomal RNA is filed under the name uncultured eukaryote. Its description in RNAcentral is "partial 18S ribosomal RNA". It matches the Rfam family "Eukaryotic small subunit ribosomal RNA", at positions 1299 to 1458 of the family's 1831-position model. The record is from RNAcentral.